Molecule: ribosomal RNA, 230 nt
Filed under: uncultured bacterium
Lineage: Bacteria
Description: partial 16S ribosomal RNA
Rfam family: Bacterial small subunit ribosomal RNA
Source: RNAcentral
AAAGGGUGCGUAGGCGGGCAGGUAAGUCAGUGGUGAAAUCUUGGGGCUCAACCCCGAAACUGCCAUUGAUACUAUUUGUCUUGAAUACUGUGGAGGUCAGCGGAAUAUGUCAUGUAGCGGUGAAAUGCUUAGAUAUGACAUAGAACACCGAUUGCGUAGGCAGCUGGCUACACAAAUAUUGACGCUGAGGCACGAAAGCGUGGGGAUCAAACAGGAUUAGAUACCCUAGU